GUCCGGCGAGGAAAGGACUUCAAAGGCAGAAUGUUCUCCUCUUUGCGCGGAUCACGGAAAUCAAAUCCGAUUUUCGAUCGGUUUAUAAAGUACAAAAUGCGAGGACAAAAGCUAGAAGCAUGUGGCUAAAAAGGCAGUCCUUUUAAAGGACAAUAACGAACUGU
Jatropha curcas is the source of this 164-nucleotide non-coding RNA. Lineage: Eukaryota; Viridiplantae; Streptophyta; Magnoliopsida; Malpighiales; Euphorbiaceae. The record is from RefSeq and is a predicted model, not a curated record.